Molecule: ribosomal RNA, 254 nt
Filed under: uncultured bacterium
Lineage: Bacteria
Description: partial 16S ribosomal RNA
Rfam family: Bacterial small subunit ribosomal RNA
Source: RNAcentral
UACGGGGGGAGCAAGCGUUGUUCGGAUUUACUGGGCGUAAAGGGCGCGUAGGCGGUCAGCACAAGUCAGUUGUGAAAUCUCCGAGCUUAACUCGGAAAGGUCAACUGAUACUGUGCGACUAGAGUGCAGAAGGGGCAACUGGAAUUCUCGGUGUAGCGGUGAAAUGCGUAGAUAUCGAGAGGAACACCUGUGGCGAAGGCGGGUUGCUGGGCUGACACUGACGCUGAGGCGCGAAAGCUAGGGGAGCGAACGGG